AUACGGAGGAUCCGAGCGUUAUCCGGAUUUAUUGGGUUUACAGGGUGCGCAGGCGGCCAUUUAAGUCAGCGGUUAAAUCAUGGGGCUCAACCCCAUUCUGCCGUUGAUACUGGUUUCCUUGAGUAAGGUUCAGGCGGGAGGAAUUCGUGGUGUAGAGGUGAAAUGCUUAGAUAUCACGAAGAACUCCGAUCGCGAAGGCAGCUCACCGGGCCGGAACUGACACUGAUGCUCGAAAGUGCGGGUAUCAAACAGGAUUAGAUACCCUGGUAGUCCGCACAGUAAACGAUGAAUACUCGCUGUUUGCAAUACACGGUAAGCGGCCAAGCGAAAGCGUUAAGUAUUCCACCUGGGGAGUACGCCGGCAACGGUGAAACUCAAAUGAAUUGGCGGGG
Molecule: ribosomal RNA, 392 nt
Filed under: uncultured bacterium
Lineage: Bacteria
Description: partial 16S ribosomal RNA
Rfam family: Bacterial small subunit ribosomal RNA
Source: RNAcentral